UAAUGCUACUGCUGCAAAUAUACAAGAUGAAAUUCAGAGUUUGAAGGCUACUAUUCUCCUUAUGCAACAACAACUUGAUGCUAUUGAUGGCGGGAGAGUGGUUACUUCAUCAUCACCUCCAUCUCAAACCAAUCGAUUUUAGAAUUGUUGUUUGUGAAGACUAUUACAUUGUUGUUUAGACUUGAAUUGACUAUUUUUAUGUAUUAAAUGUGGAUUGAUAAUGUAUUAUUUCUUGAACUUAA
Long non-coding RNA from Ipomoea nil (Japanese morning glory), 242 nucleotides. RefSeq lists it as uncharacterized. The record is from RefSeq and is a predicted model, not a curated record. The transcript is spliced from 3 exons. NCBI's taxonomy places the organism in Eukaryota, Viridiplantae, Streptophyta, Magnoliopsida, Solanales, Convolvulaceae.